GAAGGAGCUCGAGCGGGAGGCAAGCGAGAGGCUCUUUUGCUCCUCCCAAAGCAGGGGGCGGCUCCACUGUGCUUCUGAUGACCCGGCCGCCGCCGCCGCCCUGCAACCGCUCCCCGGGACCCCUCAACGCUGACACUGAUGACCCGCGGCGGGGGCGCUGGGCGCGGGGUGCGCAGGCCACUGGCCGCGGGCUCUCGGGCCCGCUCCUGCCGCCGGCUUCUGCUGCUUCCGCGGUAAUGACACUCGGCGGAGCGGCCGCCAUCUCUUCUGUGCCGUGGACACUGCCAGAAUUUGUCAAAGGUCCUAGGAAGAAAAGGCUCUUUCACCCCUCCCCUCAAUGAACAGAUGGCGUGUUUGGACUGUUCGCAUUCGCUCCUCAUAGGUGGGAUCCUGGAGGAAGUUAAGGGGUGCUCCGUUCCCUGGGGAUGGGACAGCAGCUCGCCUUUUUACUAAUAGCUAUAAGGGACUGUCAGACAUUUACCUGACUAGACCUUCACCUCAGAGCUCAGAAGGGGAACAGCUCCAGAACUAAAAGAGAGAGCCUCUGGCAGACCCCAAAAGACAGCAUGUGGAGUGAAGCUGGGCUUCCCUGCCCAAUCACUAGGAUCAUUUAUUGCACAAAUACCUGUAUUUUAAGCUGCAGAUUAUUGUGAAUUUUUGUAUUUUCUUCAUUUCCAUUUAGCUUUUUUUCAAUUUUAGAAUAGCCUUUCUCUAGAUAACUCGAGGAAGUGGGAGACGGAAUUUCCUUUGUUUCUGUCUUGAGCCCAAAGGGACAAUUGAGUGUCAGGUAUGACAGGGAUAAAGGGAGAAACUCAGAAAUAAUGCUUUUGUUUUGUUUUGUUUUGUUUUGAGAUGGAGUCUCGCUCUUGUCGCCCAGGCUGGAGUGCAAUGGCAUGAUCUUGGCUCACUGCAAACUCCACCUCCUGGGUUCAAGCGAUUCUCCUCCUCAGCCUCCCAAGUAGAUGGGCUUACAGGCAAGCGCCAUCACGCCCGGCUAAUUUUGUAUUUUUAGUAGAGAUGGGGUUUCACCAUAUUGGUCAGUCCGGUCUUGAACUCCUGACCUUGUGAUCCACCCACCUUGGCCUCUCAAAGUGCUGGGAUUACAGGCAUGAGCCACCGCACCCAGCCAGAGGAAUGUUUUGGGUGCUACACGUGCAGCCCCUCAUGACUGUAUCUCCUCAGAGCUCUUUUCUUCACAUUCCUGAGUGCUUUGUGUUUUGUUUAUUUAAGGGACAAAUGAAUCUCUUCCCACGCCAUGGGAUUUCCCUUGAUUUUUAUAUUGGGAGUGAAAAGAUGAAGCAUGAGACUCUUCAGCUGCAUCUCGAACUGCAUCUAAUCCCAGCACAUCUCUCUCAAUCUUUGAUUAAGUCUGUUCAUCUAAAAGAGAGACACAGGGGAAAAAUGGAAAUGGGACUUUGGAAGAAUGACCAUCCACAUUCCCAUCACAGCCUGAGAUUUCCUACCUGAUUGAGAUUUUCAGUAGAUGGCCCUAGGUCUAGUUUCCCACUUUGGACCUGCUGCCCUUGGCUCCAAUAGAGGACUUCCAAGUAACUAGGAAGAUUUCACCUCUCUUUUGAAACAUAAUGGACAAAUGUGUUUCUUUAGGAUGAGAGGUGCACCUGGCUAGUCAAUCUUUAUUUUCCUAAAAUAAACAGGAUGAAAACUCAAAACAAAAAGAAAUACCUCAUGGGCAAAAGCUCUCCCAAUACAACUAAUACAGACACUCAACAUGGCUUUGUAGAAACUGACCCCUCUCCCAAGUCUUAUGUUUGUCAGAAUUGCAUGCCUAUUUCAAUCGAAGAAAAGUGAUCUGAUCUCUUCAGAUGAAGGUGGGACUUGGAGAUGCUGCUGCCUAGAGUUAACUUGCCAGAGAAAGGAUAAGCAUUCGGGAAGUGCCAGGAUGGGGUAUCAGCUGAACAAUGGCAGGAUCCCUUCUGCCAGUGGGCUGGCUCAGGGAGUAAACCUCCCCGGAAGGAAUUUUGUUUCUCUCUAGAAUCAAAGUGGGCAAAAUGAUCACCUUAUUCGCCUGGAGUGAACCAGGUUGAAACUGAGAAGGCAGACAUGGGUGAUAAGCCAGAUGAAGUCAUAUGUUAUAACUAAGCUAUGUACCUGUAACUUGCCUGGUAGUUUUUUCAUUCUCUCUAAACAGGUCAUAAUAAGUGUUAGUCUGUGAUCCACUAUGGAGAGAGAUUUCUGGAAAGAAUAGAGGCAGUGGUAGAGGGUCCAAGGUUGUUAUUUAAGGAGAUGAAUGUGGGUCAGGUGCCGUGGCUCACACCUGUAAUCCCAGCAUUUUGGGAGGCAGAGGCAGGAGGAUUGCUUAAGGCCAGAGUUCAAGACCAAACUGGCCAAUAUAGUGAGAUCCCCCCCCCAUCUCUACAAAAGAUAGAAAAACUUAGCCAGGCAUGGUGGCAGGUGCUAUAGUCCCUGCCACCAUGGGACUACAGCUCCUGCAGUCCCAGCUACUCAGGAGUUGAGGCGGAAGGAUUGCUUGAGCCCAGAAGUUCGAGGUUGCAGUGAGCCAUGAUCAUGCCACUGCACUCCUCCGUGGGUGACAGAGCGAGACCUGACUCAAUAAUAAUAAUAUUAAUAAUAAUGAUAAUGCAACACAAACUAUCUUUUACCUCUUGAACAAUGAAUGCAGAUGCCAUGACUACAUCUGUUUGUUGGGGACCAGGGAGGCUGCCAGUGAGGAUUCAGGGUGGAAGUAGUGUGUACCCAAUACCUAUUGUGAGAUGUGGCCUGGGGAGCCCUGAGAUUGCCUGGCCAGGCUCACUCACUACCCAGACACCCUCUUCCUGCAUGGCGAGUCCCUCAGCCCCUCCAAGGCUCAAUUCUCAGACAUCGGAGUAAUCCACAUCCUCCAUCUUGAGUUACUCCUCACAAGGCCUGCAAGUUUUCCUAGGAGGAAGGGAAGACAGGGUUGAACCCACACAAUUCUAGAAUCUAGAAUUUGGAGGAUUUCUAAACCAUUUCUGUAAGUCAGCCCUUGAGAACUUGUAGAUUUUCUCAUCAUUUGCAGCAUGAGAGUCUGGAGUAGACUGUUUGGAUUUGACUCUUGGUUCCUUGGGCAAGUUACUUAACCUCUCAGCUGUGUGUCAGUUUCCUUAUCUAAAAAGUGUGGUUAAUAAUAACUGACCUCUCAGAGGUAUUGUGAGGUUACUGUGAUGAUUAAAUUAGUUGAU
RNAcentral lists this long non-coding RNA (3182 nucleotides) under Homo sapiens (human). RNAcentral describes it as "long intergenic non-protein coding RNA 900". Lineage: Eukaryota; Metazoa; Chordata; Mammalia; Primates; Hominidae. The record is from RNAcentral.